This is a long non-coding RNA of Canis lupus familiaris (dog), 3381 nucleotides long. RefSeq lists it as uncharacterized. The record is from RefSeq and is a predicted model, not a curated record. Lineage: Eukaryota; Metazoa; Chordata; Mammalia; Carnivora; Canidae. The transcript has 3 exons.
AAAGGCAGCUGCUGCCUGGCUCUCUUUUGGUUCCUCUCUCUGGGGGAAGCCAGACACCGUGGUGUGGGGACACUCCAGGAGCCCUGUAGGGAAGCCCAGGUCGGGAGGAGUUCAUGCCUCCACUGGCAGCCAACACCAGCUGGCCAUCUCUGUACCUGAGCUGCCUCCCCACCCCAGCCCUGCCCUGAGGAAGCAGACCACCCGUCAGUCAAACCUUCAGAUGACUGCAGCCCCAGCCAACACCUGCUGGAGCCUAAAGCACUCCUGAAUCUGACCUGCCCAUCCAAGCCCACCCCAAGUCCCUGCCCCACAGAAACUGCUAGAGAUGAUGCUUCCUCCUAGUCAAGCCACCAACUUUGGGGCCAUCGGCAGUACGAAGGCUACCAUUGGCCUUGUUCUGUGAAUAGGGAGACAGAGGUACAGAGAGGUGAAAAAACUCACCUAAGAUCACAUGGAGGCCGAAUUCAGACAGAGGCGGUUCGACCACACAGCCUAAGUCCCUCAUCACGAUGCCACACUGCCUCCCUCCAAAGGGAGGGAGCUGCUGCCCCAAACCCUUUGUGCUUGUGGACCAUGAACCCUAAAGAAGGGACUGAUUGGGUGGUGGGGAAGCCCAGAGCCCUCCCCUCCACAGCCAGAUGCAAAUCCAGGCCCUGCCACCGGGAGACAGGCUUUUCUGGCUCAUUUCCAAGUCCCCCCCACCCAGGGAUUCUGACACCUGACUCAUGAUCGCUAGCCAUCCAGCUGUCACAUGCUGGGGUCCCUGCUUCUGUGUCUGCUUUGGACUUCCAGCGAGCUCUUCAUGCUCACUACCCUGAAUUCCCCUUUCAUCUCUGUCUACAGCCUUUUGCACACAGGAGCCUCCUCUGAGACUUGAAUCUGCUCAGAGGAACGAACAUGGCAGCUGAGGACAGGCCUCUCUGAAUGAUGCACUUCUCCCUGUGGUUCCCCCGGCUUCUGAGAAGCCCCGAGUCAUCGAAAACCACUGAUCUGCGGGAUCCACUGACAGAAUGGAAUCAUGACAGAGGGAAAUUUCCAAAGUGUUUGGAGAGCACAUGCGCUGGCGUCACCCACUCCGGCUACGUGCCAUUCCUGAGAAGCCCAGUUCCUCAGGGUCAGGCUGUUGGUCUGCCCCCUGGAGACUGCUCCCAGCGAGCCUGCCAAAGACUGCCAUGGGCAGCAGAUGGAAGUCUGUGUGUGGCAACAACUGACUGAGAUUCAGGUGUGACCAAGUGUUGGAGGGUGGGUUCUAGAAGAGCCACUGGAUGAGUCUGCUCAGGGACAUCACUGCUCCUGUCAGCUUGGUCCACGUGGUCCCUUCAAAGAUUUGAGCCUGACGCACUGGGGUUCCUCGAGGCCCCGUAUCCUGUAAUAUCCUCCAUCGUGCUACUGGCUGUGACCUCUGUCUGGAUGAAGAGAUGCCAGGAUGACUCAUGGAACUGCUGCCUGCCUCAUCCCCGAACAUGUGGAUACUCUUCCUCAGACCUACACACACCACUACCUGCAGGGGUGGAGGUAGACUGAGUCCAUCUCUAGGAAGGAGAUGUUUGCAAGCAGUCCUGACAUGCAUGGAUGCUGCUUCCUCAGAGCCUGAAUCCAGGCCACCUCCCCCAGGAUCUGGACAACUGCCUGGACAGAGAUGCUGGCUUUCACUCAGGUCAUCUGGAAUCUACAUGGCCUCAGGCCUUGGUGGUCAUAGACUGACCUCACACCUUGGAGACCUUAUGAUCAAGGGGGCAAGGCUGAUUCCUGGGACUGGUCCUGUCCUUCUAUGUCCUGCCUGACCAGGCUGUCUGUGUAGUCUAGAGUGUCCAUAGCAAGAAUAGGGACAAAAAGCCCCCUCAGAAGACCAAGGCCCAACUUUGCUGUCUUGAGAGGGGAGGGGGUUUUUGGGUCCCUGUCUGGAGAGCGAUUUUCAAGUGGCUGGAUGUCUAACAUGGUCUCCUGUAGGGAACUGGCAGGUUGCCAUGGUCCUUACACAUAGGAGAAGCUACGCUUCAUCCGCCACACCUGGAGGAGCUAGGCAGAGUCUCAGCUCACCCUCUGCUGCAGAAGAUGAGUGGCCACAUCUGGGGUCUUAUUUCUCCUCUAGCUUCAUGAUGGCUGAGAAAACUGUUCCUCUGGGCUGGGACAGACCAGCCACAUGACAGGCUUUCCUUGACCACUAGGCCACCCUCCCUCCAAGUGGGUGGGGUAUAAAUCGAGGCUGGCACAGUCAAAUUUAGUUUUCCCUGAGAUCCCCCAAGGCACUAUGGUAUAGAGUGGAGGAGAGAGUCAAAAUUCAGCCCUAGGCUGGCUAACCAUUCUUUUUCUGUGAGUUGCCAUAUUAAAGUCUCUUUUAGCAGAUAUGACAUUGGGGGGUCUCCCCACACACUUACCCAAAACAUUUCCUUCUCACUAUCCCCUGUGUUACUUGUGAUGAUGUGUUUGAGGGAUUAUCUGCAUGACCACUGGCCUUGCCAGUGAACUAUCUGCUGCAGGAAGGGAGGGACGUGUCCGUAUGACUGAUGACUGUACCUCUGGUAUCUGAACAGGUCUGGCCCAUAGGAAGUGCUUAGUGAAUGUCUUUUAAAUACACGAUCGGUCUUUGCUCAUCUAAAAACCUUUGUUUCCCCUUAACUCAUGUUAUAUAUCACUAUAUACUCAGAAGCCAUGCUUGAUUAGAAGGAGAGCCAAGUCCUUGACUGGCGAAGUGGGUUAUUUUAACACAGGUUGUGUUUAACAUGAGGCUGAAUCAUAGCUCAAAAGCACCUAUGGAAACUGAUAGCAGACACUAUCCUUUUACAAAGACACCAGUGAAGGAGGUUGCGAGCCUGGUGUUGUCUUGUUGUGGAAAUCAGUAGAAAAAGCAAUUGGCUUCAAGUGACUUUCUCCUUCCAAAGUAACAGAUAAAAACAUGGAUCCAUGUAAUCCAUUAGCAGAGUAUGGGGAAAGCACAACAGAUUAGGGAGAGAGCAAAUGAACAGGAAGCCGUUAGCCUGGCAUGUUCAGAAGAAAAUUUUGAAGGAACGUGCUACUUUUUGAUGGGAGUCCCCCAAAUGAAUUUCCAGGUAGUCUGCUGGACGGCUGUGUUUUUAAAGGGGGAAUGCGUGCUUAGUCACCAGGUGAUUUCAGGCUUUGAAAGAGAUUUCAGAACAUGCCUUAACUGAAGCAGAGCAUGUAAACAAACCAGAAUAUCGGCUCCAAAGUGCAUGUCUAGAGGCACCACAGAUAUCUCACUCCCAAACUAUACCUUCCCAAAGGUAGAACUAGAGGUGUGCUGGAGCCACUGUCCUGGCUUGGAGAACUGACUUCAAUUUUCAGGAAUUUGUAUGAGCUGGUUGUUAACCAUAGUCAUCAUCAAAGAUUAAAUUAUGUAAACCUACAAUUUAAUUAAUUAUA